UUAAGUUAAUAAGGGCGCACGGUGGAUGCCUUGGCACUAGGAGCCGACGAAGGACGUGACAAACGACGAUAUGCCUUGGGUAGCUGUAAGUAAGCGAUGAUCCAGGGAUUUCCGAAUGGGGGAACCCAACAGGUAGUACCUGUUACCCACAUCUGUUAAGGAUGUGAGGAGGAAGACGCAGUGAACUGAAACAUCUAAGUAGCUGCAGGAAGAGAAAGCAAAAGCGAUUGCCUUAGUAGCGGCGAGCGAAACGGCAGGAGGGCAAACCGAAGAGUUUACUCUUCGGGGUUGUAGGACUGCAAUGUGGACUCAAAGAUUAUAGAAGAAUGAUUUGGGAAGAUCAGCCAAAGAGAGUAAUAGCCUCGUAUUUAAAAUAGUCUUUGUACUUAGCAGUAUCCUGAGUACGGCGGGACACGUGAAAUCCCGUCGGAAUCUGGGAGGACCAUCUCCCAACCCUAAAUACUCCCUAGUGACCGAUAGUGAACCAGUACCGUGAGGGAAAGGUGAAAAGCACCCCGGGAGGGGAGUGAAAUAGAACCUGAAACCGUGUGCCUACAACAAGUUCGAGCCCGUUAAUGGGUGAGAGCGUGCCUUUUGUAGAAUGAACCGGCGAGUUACGUUAUGAUGCGAGGUUAAGUUGAAGAGACGGAGCCGUAGGGAAACCGAGUCUGAAUAGGGCGCCUUAGUAUCAUGACGUAGACCCGAAACCAUGUGACCUACCCAUGAGCAGGUUGAAGGUGCGGUAAGACGCACUGGAGGACCGAACCAGGGCACGUUGAAAAGUGCUUGGAUGACUUGUGGGUAGCGGAGAAAUUCCAAACGAACUUGGAGAUAGCUGGUUCUCUCCGAAAUAGCUUUAGGGCUAGCGUCGACAUUAGAGAUUCUUGGAGGUAGAGCACUGUUUGGGUGAGGGGUCCAUCCCGGAUUACCAAUCUCAGAUAAACUCCGAAUGCCAAUGAAUUAUGGUCGGCAGUCAGACUGCGAGUGCUAAGAUCCGUAGUCGAAAGGGAAACAGCCCAGACCACCAGCUAAGGUCCCAAAAUAAUUGUUAAGUGGAAAAGGAUGUGGGGUUGCACAGACAACUAGGAUGUUAGCUUAGAAGCAGCUAUUCAUUCAAAGAGUGCGUAAUAGCUCACUAGUCGAGUGACCCUGCGCCGAAAAUGUACCGGGGCUAAAACAAUUUACCGAAGCUGUGGAUACCUUUAUAGGUAUGGUAGGAGAGCGUUCUAUGUGUGAUGAAGGUAUACCGUGAGGAGUGCUGGAACGCAUAGAAGUGAGAAUGCCGGUAUGAGUAGCGAAAGACAGGUGAGAAUCCUGUCCACCGUAAGACUAAGGUUUCCAGGGGAAGGCUCGUCCGCCCUGGGUUAGUCGGGACCUAAGGAGAGACCGAAAGGUGUAUCCGAUGGACAACAGGUUGAUAUUCCUGUACUAGAGUAUGUAGUGAUGGAGGGACGCAGUAGGCUAACUAAAGCAGACGAUUGGAAGAGUCUGUCUAAGCAGUGAGGUGUGAAUUGAGUCAAAUGCUUAAUUCUAUAACAUUGAGCUGUGAUGGGGAGCGAAGUUUAGUAGCGAAGUUAGUGACGUCACACUGCCAAGAAAAGCUUCUAGCGUUUAAACAUACUCUACCCGUACCGCAAACCGACACAGGUAGUCGAGGCGAGUAGCCUCAGGUGAGCGAGAGAACUCUCGUUAAGGAACUCGGCAAAAUGACCCCGUAACUUCGGGAGAAGGGGUGCUGACUUUAAGUCAGCCGCAGUGAAUAGGCCCAAGCAACUGUUUAUCAAAAACACAGCUCUCUGCUAAAUCGUAAGAUGAUGUAUAGGGGGUGACGCCUGCCCGGUGCUGGAAGGUUAAGAGGAGUGCUUAGCGUAAGCGAAGGUAUGAAUUGAAGCCCCAGUAAACGGCGGCCGUAACUAUAACGGUCCUAAGGUAGCGAAAUUCCUUGUCGGGUAAGUUCCGACCCGCACGAAAGGCGUAA
This 1978-nucleotide ribosomal RNA is filed under the name Streptococcus pneumoniae. RNAcentral describes it as "bacterial LSU rRNA". It matches the Rfam family "Bacterial large subunit ribosomal RNA", at positions 3 to 2004 of the family's 2925-position model. Lineage: Bacteria; Bacillati; Bacillota; Bacilli; Lactobacillales; Streptococcaceae. The record is from RNAcentral.